Loxodonta africana (African savanna elephant) is the source of this 1912-nucleotide long non-coding RNA. RefSeq lists it as uncharacterized. The record is from RefSeq and is a predicted model, not a curated record. NCBI's taxonomy places the organism in Eukaryota, Metazoa, Chordata, Mammalia, Proboscidea, Elephantidae. The transcript has 3 exons.
UCCAACUCAUAGCGACCCUAUAGGACAGAGUAGAACUGCCCCAUAGAGUAUCCAAGGAGGCCUGGCAGAUUCGAACUGCCAACCCUUUGAUUGGCAGCCGUAGCACUUAACCAUUACGCCACCAGGGUUUCUAAACAUUCUAAGCUUCCCCAUUUACAAUUUGUCAGCACAGGCUUAUUUUUAAUUAACCGAUGUUUUCAGUGUGUUUAACCUCUAGGGAUAAUAAGAUCUGGACGCUUACCACUCUCUAACUAAAGCAGUAUUUUGCAAUAGAAUUGACAGGUUUAUUUGAUUGUAUUCUCCAGCCAAUUCAAUCUGCCUCUUACUUGGUUACAGAGCUCAAGAGUCUGAUUCUGUGUGGGAGGUACAAGAGAAUCCAGCCAGCCGGUUGUGACUCCCAGGAGAAUUAUGACCCAGGGACAACUCUGACAUAAACAUAACCAAGUGUCCUCCUAACAAUGACUUCAGAGAUCAGAAAGGAGCCAGGAUCAAAGAUAACAUGGAUAAGAUUUUGAAGAAUGGGAAUUCCAGAACACUUAAUUGUGAUCAUGAAGAACCUGUACAUAAAUCAAGAGGUGGUCGUUUGAACAGGACAAGAGGAUACUGCAUGGUUUAAAGUCAGGAAAGGUGUGCAUCAGGGUUGUAUCCUUUCACUGUACCUAUUCAAUUUGUAUGCUGAGCAAAUAAUCUCAUAAGCUGUACUAGAUGAAGAAAAACAGGGCAUCGGGAUUGGAGGAAGACUCAUUAACAACCUGUGUUAUGCAGGUGACACAACUUUGCUUGCUGAAAGCAAAGAGGACUUGAAGCACUUACUGGUGAAGAUCAAAAACCAUAGCCUUUUUUUUUUCAGUAUGUGUUACACCUCAACAUAAAGAAAACAAAAACUCUCACAUCUGGACCAAUGAACAAUGUCACAAUAAAUGGAGAAAAGAUUUGAAGUUGUCAAGGAUUCAAUUUUAUUUGGAUCCAUGAUCAACAUAUAUAGAAGCAACAGUCAAGAAAUCAAAAGACACAUGCAUUGGGCAAAUACACUGCAAAAGACCUCUUUAAAGCAUUGAAAAGCAAAGAUAUCACCUUGCAGACUAAGGUGCACCUGACCCAAGCUAUGUGAAAGCUGGACGAUGAAUAAAAAUGACCUAAGAAGAACUGAUGCCACUGAAUUGUGGUGUUGACAAAGAAUAUUGAAUAUAUCAUGAACUGCCAAAGAACGAACAAAUCUGUCUUGGAAGAAGUACAACCGGAAUACUCCUUGGAAGCAAGGAUGACGAGACUAUGUCUCAUGUGCCACCGAAUUGUGGUGUUGACAAAGAAUAUUGAAUAUAUCAUGAACUGCCAAAGAACGAACAAAUCUGUCUUGGAAGAAGUACAACCAGAAUACUCCUUGGAAGCAAGGAUGACGAGACUAUGUCUCAUGUACGUUGGACACAUUAGCAACAGGGAUCAAUCCCUGGAGAAUAACAACAUGCAUGGUAAAAAGAGGAAGACUGUCAAUGAGACGGAUUGACACCGUGGCUGCAACAAUGGGCUCAAGCAUAACAAUGAUUGUGAGGACAGCGCAGGAUUUAGCACUGUUUCGUUCUUUUGUACAUAAGGUCACUGUGAGUCAGUACCAACUCAUGGUACCCAACAACAAAUAACAACAAGGAUCAAAGAAGCUAUUCUCUGGUAUAAUAAUGAGGAAAAAGCAUGGAACUUCAUUGAGUCUGACUGAUAAGAAUAUUCUUAAGCCAAUGCAGGUAAUUUCUAGAGAACUCAGUGAGUACUCUUUGAUUUUUUAUGGUAAAUUAUUGCCUCUGAAACACCUUAGGCCCAGCCCCUAAAGAAUAGAUCUGUCUUAAAGUAAAAAAUGAAUAGAAUAGCAUCAGAUUUCUUAUAUUCUUUGAUGUCAAACUUUCCUGGCGUUUUUCUGAUU